CCUGGCGGCCGUAGCGCGGUGGUCCCACCUGAUCCCAUGCCGAACUCAGAAGUGAAACGCCGUAGCGCCGAUGGUAGUGUGGGGUCUCCCCAU
This 93-nucleotide ribosomal RNA is filed under the name Escherichia coli. The record is from RNAcentral. Lineage: Bacteria; Pseudomonadati; Pseudomonadota; Gammaproteobacteria; Enterobacterales; Enterobacteriaceae. RNAcentral also lists the same sequence under 1 other name.